AGCGAACGCUGGCGGCAGGCCUAACACAUGCAAGUCGUACGAACCUUUCGGGGUUAGUGGCGGACGGGUGAGUAACACGUGGGAACGUGCCUUUAGGUUCGGAAUAACUCAGGGAAACUUGUGCUAAUACCGAAUGUGCCCUUCGGGGGAAAGAUUAAUCGCCUUUAGAGCGGCCCGCGUCUGAUUAGCUAGUUGGUUGAGGUAAUGGCUCACCAAGGCGACGAUCAGUAGCUGGUCUGAGAGGAUGAUCAGCCACAUUGGGACUGAGACACGGCCCAAACUCCUACGGGAGGCAGCAGUGGGGAAUCUUGCGCAAUGGGCGAAAGCCUGACGCAGCCAUGCCGCGUGAAUGAUGAAGGUCUUAGGAUUGUAAAAUUCUUUCACCGGGGACGAUAAUGACGGUACCCGGAGAAGAAGCCCCGGCUAACUUCGUG
This 434-nucleotide ribosomal RNA is filed under the name uncultured bacterium. RNAcentral's name for it is "partial 16S ribosomal RNA". It matches the Rfam family "Bacterial small subunit ribosomal RNA", at positions 29 to 507 of the family's 1533-position model. The record is from RNAcentral.